Rhagoletis zephyria (snowberry fruit fly) is the source of this 154-nucleotide long non-coding RNA. RefSeq lists it as uncharacterized. The record is from RefSeq and is a predicted model, not a curated record. NCBI's taxonomy places the organism in Eukaryota, Metazoa, Arthropoda, Insecta, Diptera, Tephritidae.
AAAAAAUUUUAACUAUUUUUCACAAUUUUUACAUAUGCAGUUUUGUAGUCCAUUAAGUUUAAGUAGGUAAAAGUGAGAAUUUCAAGAUACUAGGAAAUCGCGUUCAUUUUUAAUAAUUUUUUUUGGCUGACGGCGCUAAGCAUUUUCUUCUAUA